This 206-nucleotide microRNA precursor is filed under the name Oryza glumipatula. Its description in RNAcentral is "MIR812 microRNA precursor family". It matches the Rfam family "MIR812 microRNA precursor family". Lineage: Eukaryota; Viridiplantae; Streptophyta; Magnoliopsida; Poales; Poaceae. The record is from Rfam by way of RNAcentral.
AAAUAGUGUAGUUUUAUAUUGUUUAUGUCCAAUGUUUGACCAUUUAUUUUAUUAGAAAUUUUUUAUGAUAAAUAUUUUUUAUUACAUGAUAAAACAUGAAUGGUACUUUAUGUGUGACUAUUUUUUAAUAAUAAAAAUAUAUAAUUUUUUUAAAUAAGACGGACGGCCAGUUAGACACGGUAUAUACAUAUACGGUUGCACUUGUA